Molecule: ribosomal RNA, 460 nt
Filed under: uncultured bacterium
Lineage: Bacteria
Description: partial 16S ribosomal RNA
Rfam family: Bacterial small subunit ribosomal RNA
Source: RNAcentral
CCUACGGGAGGCAGCAGUGAGGAAUAUUGGUCAAUGGACGAGAGUCUGAACCAGCCAAGUAGCGUGAAGGAUGACUGCCCUAUGGGUUGUAAACUUCUUUUAUAUGGGAAUAAAACGUUCCACGUGUGGGAUUUUGUAUGUACCAUAUGAAUAAGGAUCGGCUAACUCCGUGCCAGCAGCCGCGGUAAUACGGAGGAUCCGAGCGUUAUCCGGAUUUAUUGGGUUUAAAGGGAGCGUAGGUGGAUUGUUAAGUCAGUUGUGAAAGUUUGCGGCUCAACCGUAAAAUUGCAGUUGAAACUGGCAGUCUUGAGUACAGUAGAGGUGGGCGGAAUUCGUGGUGUAGCGGUGAAAUGCUUAGAUAUCACGAAGAACUCCGAUUGCGAAGGCAGUUCACUGGACUGCAACUGACACUGAGGCUCGAAAGUGUGGGUAUCAAACGGGAUUAGAUACCCUUGUAGUC